GCACAGCUCACAGCGUCGUCCCACAAGGCCAGCGUGUUUGCCACCUGGGCCCCUGGCAGCGCGACUGAACCUUCAGGGCCGAACCAAUGCCUGGAGGCCCCGGGAGAACGGGCGGGCGGAGUGGCUGCAGGUGGACUUCGGGAAGCUGAUGAAAGUCACGGGAGUGACAACCCAGGGAGUGAAGUCCAUCCUCACCAGCAUGUUCGUGAGAGAGUUCUUGCUCUCCAGCAGCCGAGAUGGCAAGCGCUGGACCUUCUUUCAUCAGAACCACCAGUCAAAAACCGCCAACCGGAGCAGCCUAUGCCAGGCUCAGGAGGGCGG
RNAcentral lists this long non-coding RNA (321 nucleotides) under Sarcophilus harrisii (Tasmanian devil). RNAcentral describes it as "lncRNA (ENSSHAG00000026713.1)". The record is from RNAcentral. Lineage: Eukaryota; Metazoa; Chordata; Mammalia; Dasyuromorphia; Dasyuridae.